This 1201-nucleotide ribosomal RNA is filed under the name Enterococcus faecalis. RNAcentral describes it as "bacterial SSU rRNA". It matches the Rfam family "Bacterial small subunit ribosomal RNA", at positions 36 to 1200 of the family's 1533-position model. The record is from RNAcentral. Lineage: Bacteria; Bacillati; Bacillota; Bacilli; Lactobacillales; Enterococcaceae.
CCAAUGGGGGCCGCUAUAAUGCAAGUCGAACGCUUCUUUCCUCCCGAGUGCUUGCACUCAAUUGGAAAGAGGAGUGGCGGACGGGUGAGUAACACGUGGGUAACCUACCCAUCAGAGGGGGAUAACACUUGGAAACAGGUGCUAAUACCGCAUAACAGUUUAUGCCGCAUGGCAUAAGAGUGAAAGGCGCUUUCGGGUGUCGCUGAUGGAUGGACCCGCGGUGCAUUAGCUAGUUGGUGAGGUAACGGCUCACCAAGGCCACGAUGCAUAGCCGACCUGAGAGGGUGAUCGGCCACACUGGGACUGAGACACGGCCCACACUCCUACGGGAGGCAGCAGUAGGGAAUCUUCGGCAAUGGACGAAAGUCUGACCGAGCAACGCCGCGUGAGUGAAGAAGGUUUUCGGAUCGUAAAACUCUGUUGUUAGAGAAGAACAAGGACGUUAGUAACUGAACGUCCCCUGACGGUAUCUAACCAGAAAGCCACGGCUAACUACGUGCCAGCAGCCGCGGUAAUACGUAGGUGGCAAGCGUUGUCCGGAUUUAUUGGGCGUAAAGCGAGCGCACGCGGUUUCUUAAGUCUGAUGUGAAAGCCCCCGGCUCAACCGGGGAGGGUCAUUGGAAACUGGGAGACUUGAGUGCAGAAGAGGAGAGUGGAAUUCCAUGUGUAGCGGUGAAAUGCGUAGAUAUAUGGAGGAACACCAGUGGCGAAUGCGGCUCUCUGGUCUGUAACUGACGCUGAGGCUCGAAAGCGUGGGGAGCAAACAGGAUUAGAUACCCUGGUAGUCCACGCCGUAACGAUGAGUGCUAAGUGUUGGACGGUUUCCCGCCCUUCAGUGCUGCAGCAAACGCAUUAAGCACUCCGCCUGGGGAGUACGACCGCAAGGUUGAAACUCAAAGGAAUUGACGGGGGCCUGCACAAGCGGUGGAGCAUGAUGGUUUAAUUCCAAGCAACGCGGAGAACCUUAUCAGGUCUUGACAUCCUUUGACCACUCUAGAGAUAGAAGCUUUCCCUUCGGGCACAUACUGACCAGGUGGUGCAUGGUUUGAUCUCACUUCGUGUCUGAGAUUGUUGGGUUUAGUUCCCGCAACGAGCGCAACCCUUCAUUGGUAGCUUUGCCAUUAGUUAGUUUGGGCACUGCUAGCAGAACUUGCCGUGACAAUCUGAAGAAGGUGGGAUUGACUUCAAUCAAUCUGUGCCC